This 388-nucleotide ribosomal RNA is filed under the name uncultured bacterium. RNAcentral's name for it is "bacterial SSU rRNA". It matches the Rfam family "Bacterial small subunit ribosomal RNA", at positions 30 to 417 of the family's 1533-position model. The record is from RNAcentral.
AUUGAACGCUGGCGGCAUGCUUUACACAUGCAAGUCGAACGGUAACAGGGAGCUUGCUCCGCUGACGAGUGGCGAACGGGUGAGUAAUGCAUCGGAACGUACCGUGUAAUGGGGGGAUAACGUAGCGAAAGUUACGCUAAUACCGCAUACGCCCUGAGGGGGAAAGUGGGGGACUGGAAGGCCUCACGUUAUACGAGCGGCCGAUGUCGGAUUAGCUAGUUGGUGGGGUAAAGGCCUACCAAGGCGACGAUCCGUAGCGGGUCUGAGAGGAUGAUCCGCCACACUGGGACUGAGACACGGCCCAGACUCCUACGGGAGGCAGCAGUGGGGAAUUUUGGACAAUGGGCGAAAGCCUGAUCCAGCCAUGCCGCGUGAGUGAAGAAGGCCU